RNAcentral lists this ribosomal RNA (471 nucleotides) under uncultured bacterium. RNAcentral's name for it is "partial 16S ribosomal RNA". It matches the Rfam family "Bacterial small subunit ribosomal RNA", at positions 29 to 507 of the family's 1533-position model. The record is from RNAcentral.
ACGAACGCUGGCGGCGUGCUUAACACAUGCAAGUCGAACGCUGAAGCUUGGUGCUUGCACUGGGUGGAUGAGUGGCGAACGGGUGAGUAAUACGUGAGUAACCUGCCCUUGACUCUGGGAUAAGCCUGGGAAACUGGGUCUAAUACUGGAUACGACAUGUCACCGCAUGGUGGUGUGUGGAAAGGGUUUUACUGGUUUUGGAUGGGCUCACGGCCUAUCAGCUUGUUGGUGGGGUAAUGGCUCACCAAGGCGACGACGGGUAGCCGGCCUGAGAGGGUGACCGGCCACACUGGGACUGAGACACGGACCAGACUCCUACGGGAGGCAGCAGUGGGGAAUAUUGCACAAUGGGCGGAAGCCUGAUGCAGCGACGCCGCGUGAGGGAUGACGGCCUUCGGGUUGUAAACCUCUUUCAGCACGGAAGAAGCGAAAGUGACGGUACGUGCAGAAGAAGCGCCGGCUAACUACGUG